Vitis vinifera (wine grape) is the source of this 961-nucleotide long non-coding RNA. RefSeq lists it as uncharacterized. The record is from RefSeq and is a predicted model, not a curated record. The transcript has 2 exons. NCBI's taxonomy places the organism in Eukaryota, Viridiplantae, Streptophyta, Magnoliopsida, Vitales, Vitaceae.
CUCACACCCGUCAUACCACCCAAAGAUCUACGAAUGCUCACAUCCUCAUCUACGAAUACUCACACCCUCAUCUAUCUUAGAUUGAAGAACACUCGCGCCCUAAAAAGCUAUUAUCCAUCUUGAUCACCCUAACAUUUACUCUUAACCAUAUUUGGUUACCCUAAGCCUCGUUAGAGCAACUUUGUCAUCACUAUCACCGAUGACCUCAUAUACCCAAACCCCAAGUCUCUUCUUUGUCUAUUCUCACCAUAGUUGUUGAGAGUUUCUAACCCCAAAAUAGAGAAGCUUCAAAUGCACUACCAACCAACUAGUUAGCAAUGACAUCAAACUUUUUCUAAGCUUGAAACAAAGUAGCACAAUGGUGAGUUGCUAUGACCAACAAGGCCAGACACAAGAGGGAAUCUCUAUGUGAGAAAUCCAUGGAUUUGAUUAUGAACAUCAUCAAACUAUCAUCUCUAUCUCUUGCAAGGAAGAGUUUUAGAACAGCCAGGCUGCCAGCCAAGCGAAACCGGGUGCCGGUGACUGGUGCAGUCACGGUAUCCAUACCCCAUCAACUUCCUGCAAGUCAGGCGUUACAGGAGCCAGAGAAUGGCUCUAAGUCUUAUUCCUACUUGAUUGAGAUAGAAAGAAAGAGCCCCUCCUACAUGAUCCCCGAAAUUGAGAACGUUGAUGACAGAGCUUCAGAUUAUAUCAGGGGGUUUCAUGCAAAGAACCGGCAUGAUUCCAGUACUGCAUCUAAACAGUUAUCAUAUAUAUUGUCUCCCCCACCUCCAUUUUAUAAGUAGCCUUCCUCUCAUGCUUUGGUUGGCGGACUGCACCGCAAAAAUCAGAAAAGGUAUGGUUCCAAUGAGAUUCCAAUUUUUAUUUUCUUUUCCCUUCUCAGAAAUCAAGUGUAUCUGAUGUACAUGACUCAGAAAAAAGCUGUUUCUGGUUGAAAAGUAAGCAAAGAAUGAUUAUACCA